This is a long non-coding RNA of Centruroides sculpturatus (bark scorpion), 626 nucleotides long. RefSeq lists it as uncharacterized. Lineage: Eukaryota; Metazoa; Arthropoda; Arachnida; Scorpiones; Buthidae. The transcript is spliced from 3 exons. The record is from RefSeq and is a predicted model, not a curated record.
AUUUAUAAUAUGAUUACGUGAUUCUUAAUCUUUUAACAUGGUCGUUUUUAACUGGACGUUGAAUACCGUAUUGUUUUUAAUGUUAAGUUUAUGCGGUAUAUCACCUCGAGAGCUUGGCAUCUUGUCGAUUUUCGUCUAUUUUAAUGAACGUUUUGUAAAUAUAAACGAACAUAUUCCGAUUCAGUUAACGGCAGUUACGGUUUACGCGAUUCUAAUAUUUACCGUAUCAUCGGGAAUGUCUAGACUUUUUAAAAUUAUAUUAUCUACAAUCUUCUACUUGCCCGACGAACGUAUCUCUUCGACCCAGUUAACGUAUCGAUAGCGCUGUUUGAAAUAUUGCUCUUCGAUGUUCUCGUUUGUCCUAUAAUGCAAUUGAUAAUUUUAACUGAUAAUCUACUUAAUUUUCCCUUUUGAACGUCAGACAUUCUCGUUAUAUUGUUACGACUUUAAUUUCAUUGUUAUUGCAAACGGGUGAAUGUAACUGCUUCGGGAAUCUUUUAUUUUUACAAGUAUUGUUUUACGUGACGAAUAUUUAAAUUUGUUUUAUACUUUAUCGUUAACUGUUUUUGUAGAUUUAUGUAUCAUUUGUAUAAAUAUAUAUAUUUUUUUACCAUGUUUAAAGUUUG